Sander lucioperca (pikeperch) is the source of this 124-nucleotide long non-coding RNA. RefSeq lists it as uncharacterized. The record is from RefSeq and is a predicted model, not a curated record. The transcript is spliced from 3 exons. NCBI's taxonomy places the organism in Eukaryota, Metazoa, Chordata, Actinopteri, Perciformes, Percidae.
CUACAUGUGUUUUGUGAGGGGGGUCCCUUCUCAGGGCCAUCCAAUCUCUAUACGACCAAAGUGAGAGCUGUGUUCUCGGCAGUAAGUGAGGGUUGGCCUCCGCCAGGGCUGCGCUUUAUCACCA